CGUGACCUGGCUGAAGUCGGACGCUUAACCGACUGCGCCACCCAGGCGCCCCGCAGUUCUUGUAUUUUUACCUAAACAAGGGACUUAUCUAGUUCAACCUUACUCACAUCUCCUAUUUCCAAGAGCUGGGUUCCACGGCCGCUUUCCUGCUUGCUCAGGGGAGAUCUUCCAGAAAGAAGCCUGCCGUGUCUUCACAGCUCAGCCAUGCUCCUGUUGCUCAUCCCAGUACUGGGGACGCUUUUUUCCCUGAGAGACACCAGUGCCCAGUCAGUGACCCAGCUUGAUGGCCAUGUCACUGUCUCUGAAAAAGCCCAUCUGGAGCUGAGGUGCAACUACUCCUAUGGGGCAACUCCUAAUCUCUUCUGGUAUGUGCAGUACCCCAACCAAGGACUCCAGCUUCUCCUCAAGUACUUCUCAGGGCCACCAAAUGUCCUGGUUCAAGGCAUCAAAGGUUUUCAGGCUGAAUUUAGGAAGAAUGAAACCUCCUUCCACCUGAGGAAACACUCGGCCCACUGGAGCGACUCGGCCAAGUACUUUUGUGCUGCAAGUGACACAGUACCUUGGACUGCAGGGGGAGCUGAACACAAACCUCUUGAGGCACUAAGGAGGCUAAGUGCAUCUGAAAGGUUUUGGAUUCUGACAUAGUAGGA
Molecule: non-coding RNA, 650 nt
Organism: Prionailurus viverrinus (fishing cat)
Lineage: Eukaryota; Metazoa; Chordata; Mammalia; Carnivora; Felidae
Source: the annotation of a RefSeq genome assembly